This 608-nucleotide ribosomal RNA is filed under the name Salmonella enterica subsp. enterica serovar Derby. RNAcentral describes it as "partial 23S ribosomal RNA". It matches the Rfam family "Bacterial large subunit ribosomal RNA", at positions 1 to 652 of the family's 2925-position model. Lineage: Bacteria; Pseudomonadati; Pseudomonadota; Gammaproteobacteria; Enterobacterales; Enterobacteriaceae. The record is from RNAcentral.
GCGACUAAGCGUACACGGUGGAUGCCCUGGCAGUCAGAGGCGAUGAAGGGCGUGCUAAUCUGCGAUAAGCGCCGGUAAGGUGAUAUGAACCGUUAUAACCGGCGAUACCCGAAUGGGGAAACCCAGUGUGAUUCGUCACACUAUCAUUAACUGAAUCCAUAGGUUAAUGAGGCGAACCGGGGGAACUGAAACAUCUAAGUACCCCGAGGAAAAGAAAUCAACCGAGAUUCCCCCAGUAGCGGCGAGCGAACGGGGAGGAGCCCAGAGCCUGAAUCAGCAUGUGUGUUAGUGGAAGCGUCUGGAAAGGCGCGCGAUACAGGGUGACAGCCCCGUACACAAAAGCGCAUGUGCUGUGAGCUCGAUGAGUAGGGCGGGACACGUGGUAUCCUGUCUGAAUAUGGGGGGACCAUCCUCCAAGGCUAAAUACUCCUGACUGACCGAUAGUGAACCAGUACCGUGAGGGAAAGGCGAAAAGAACCCCGGCGAGGGGAGUGAAAAAGAACCUGAAACCGUGUACGUACAAGCAGUGGGAGCACAGGUUUACCUGUGUGACUGCGUACCUUUUGUAUAAUGGGUCAGCGACUUAUAUUCUGUAGCAAGGUUAACCG